This 297-nucleotide unclassified non-coding RNA is filed under the name fungal sp. RNAcentral describes it as "partial internal transcribed spacer region". The stretch from base 1 to 46 matches the Rfam family "Eukaryotic small subunit ribosomal RNA", at positions 1786 to 1831 of the family's 1831-position model. Lineage: Eukaryota; Fungi. The record is from RNAcentral.
AAGUCGUAACAAGGUAACCGUAGGUGAACCUGCGGUUGGAUCAUUAAAAAAAAAUUGAAGCUUCAACCCUUUCAAGGGUAGAAGCGUCAGUGCUCCUCUAACAAGGAGCUUGACUACUCCAAUUUUGUGAACUUGCAACCAAAAAAUGUUUUGAUAGUGGUGAAAGAUUUGGGCAUUACCAGCCCAAGUUUUUCCCUUCUUGAAAAAAUUGUUAACCCUGAAGAAAUAACUUGUCUUUACCGUUUUUUAUAUAUAAAAAUUAAUAAACAACUUUUGACAACGGAUCUCUAGGCUCUC